UGAAAUUAUAUUCAGGUUGUCAUCAUAACCCAACAAGAACUGGACCAGGGUGAGGACCUUAGACAACGAACCCAACAGCUUCUUCCUAGGCAUGCCCAUGAGGAUGGAAGCACCAGUUCUGCUACAUAGCAAAGCUGCCUACCUUCUCCUCCACAUUGCCAAAGGGAGCAGUGGCAGUGUGCACGACCCCUUGGACCCCCAUGCAGAGUUGAUUUCACAAUAAAGGUGUCAAAAAGGAGCAGGUCUCCUUGCCCGUUUCUUUUUCAGGUAUGUGGAUGUUUAGAUACAUAGAUAGCUGUUUGUGUGUAGGCCCAGGCUGCAUUUUGAUCUCUUUUCCCCCUUGGCUGCCUUUUUCACCUCUUGCUUUUCCCCCUGUGCCCCCUCUGUCCCCUCUCCCUGUGCUGGGUCCGAGCUGGCGGCCGGGCCGGGCGGAGCAGCAGUUCCAGCCCCGGGUGUCCCUGGAGCGGUGGGAGCUGCCGGUGGCCCCAGGCACUGUCCCCUGAGGAGCUGCUGCAGGACGCUGCAGUGAAGACCUAGAGGACAGCCGGAGACUGACGGGAGCCAGCAGGGAGAAGCUGAAGGCCAGCAGCAAGAGCAGGGAACGGGGACCUGCUGCUGCCACGCUGGAGAGAGCCCGGCUGUGCCAUCUGCUGUCCCUGUCCAGGAGAGCUGCUCUGCACGGGAGGAAGAGACCGAGGGAGAGGCUUUGAAGAUGGGGCAGCUGGGAUCCCUCUGCUUGCAGUUCUGUUUGGAGAUACACGGACUUGCACAUAGACAGGGAUAAUUACCUGGAUAUGUUUCAUAUGUAGGCUGUUAUUUGUAUAGGUUUAUUUCUAUGUGUAUGUU
Long non-coding RNA from Vidua chalybeata, 846 nucleotides. RefSeq lists it as uncharacterized. The record is from RefSeq and is a predicted model, not a curated record. The transcript is spliced from 4 exons. NCBI's taxonomy places the organism in Eukaryota, Metazoa, Chordata, Aves, Passeriformes, Viduidae.